CAAUAAUCUGGAAUAUACUACCAGCAGUCCAGAAUCCAGAAAAGGGAAGGGAGGAAGAGAGCAUCUGAAACAUAGGCAUCAAAGAAAAAAGGUAGACUGCAGGACCCAACAAGUGAAGGCUGCAUCUGAGAUACAGACUAACAAGGCUACCUCCUGAUACUUGCCUUCCAUUCUCAUCAUUCAAUGGGACAGUGACAAGGGUGCUGAUGCAGCUAGAAAUAUCAAGGAUAACCCUGAAGACCCAGAAAGCAGUCAGAAAGGAGGAGGAUCAGGCUGCAGAAGCCCUUACAGAGGACCCUGAAGAUGGACUGGUGCCUCGGCAAGGUGCAGAACCCCAGGCUGAAUACUGAGGUCAGAGGCUAGCAUCCCUACAGGAGCAGAAUUAAGGUUGAC
Long non-coding RNA from Mauremys mutica (yellowpond turtle), 393 nucleotides. RefSeq lists it as uncharacterized. The record is from RefSeq and is a predicted model, not a curated record. NCBI's taxonomy places the organism in Eukaryota, Metazoa, Chordata, Testudines, Geoemydidae. The transcript has 3 exons.